Molecule: ribosomal RNA, 251 nt
Filed under: uncultured bacterium
Lineage: Bacteria
Description: partial 16S ribosomal RNA
Rfam family: Bacterial small subunit ribosomal RNA
Source: RNAcentral
UACGAAGGGGGGCUAGCGUUGUUCGGAAUUACUGGGCGUAAAGCGCACGUAGGCGGAUAUUUAAGUCAGGGGUGAAAUCCCAGAGCUCAACUCUGGAACUGCCUUUGAUACUGGGUAUCUUGAGUAUGGAAGAGGUAAGUGGAAUUGCGAGUGUAGAGGUGAAAUUCGUAGAUAUUCGCAGGAACACCAGUGGCGAAGGCGGCUUACUGGUCCAUAACUGACGCUGAGGUGCGAAAGCGUGGGGAGCAAAC